GUGCCAGCCGCCGCGGUAAUACGUAGGUCCCGAGCGUUGUCCGGAUUUAUUGGGCGUAAAGCGAGCGCAGGUGGUUUAUUAAGUCUGGUGUAAAAGGCAGUGGCUCAACCAUUGUAUGCAUUGGAAACUGGUAGACUUGAGUGCAGGAGAGGAGAGUGGAAUUCCAUGUGUAGCGGUGAAAUGCGUAGAUAUAUGGAGGAACACCGGUGGCGAAAGCGGCUCUCUGGCCUGUAACUGACACUGAGGCUCGAAAGCGUGGGGAGCAAACAGGAUUAGAUACCCUGGUAGUCCACGCCGUAAACGAUGAGUGCUAGAUGUAGGGAGCUAUAAGUUCUCUGUAUCGCAGCUAACGCAAUAAGCACUCCGCCUGGGGAGUACGACCGCAAGGUUGAAACUCAAAUAAAUUGACGG
This 411-nucleotide ribosomal RNA is filed under the name uncultured bacterium. Its description in RNAcentral is "bacterial SSU rRNA". It matches the Rfam family "Bacterial small subunit ribosomal RNA", at positions 505 to 916 of the family's 1533-position model. The record is from RNAcentral.